RNAcentral lists this unclassified non-coding RNA (300 nucleotides) under Hevea brasiliensis (rubber tree). Lineage: Eukaryota; Viridiplantae; Streptophyta; Magnoliopsida; Malpighiales; Euphorbiaceae. The record is from RNAcentral.
CCGGCAGUUUCCAUGUCGUCUUCGUCGCCGUCAGUGAUCGUUUCUGCUGAUACAAACGUGUCUGGACACUUAUUGAGGGUGUGGGACACUCGGGUCGGGAGUCGGAUCCCAGAAAUAAUAGCGGAGUGGCGGCCGAUGUUGGGAAAAUUUGUCGGAAUAAAUGCCGGCGGCGGGCAGAAGGUUUACGUUAGAGAUGACAUCACGGGGAGAUUAACGGUGGGUGACAUGAGAAAAGUUAGCUCACCGCUAGCAAAUGCAACGGAAUCCGAUUUGGAUACGUGGUGGGAUGCUGACGCCGUU